UUGACAAACGCUGCAUACUUGUUAUGUAGAGGAAAGUCCAUGCUCGCACAGUCUGCGAUGACUGUAGUGUUUGUGCUUAGGGAAAAAAUAACCUAAGGUAGCAAUUUUUUUUGUUAACGGCUUCUGAUGACCUAAGUCUAUGAUAUGGUCUAGGAUAUAAAAGUGCCAAAGAGACGAGCCUUUUAGAAAUAAAAGGUGUGGAACGUGGUAAACCCCACAAGCGAGAAACCCAAAUUUUGGUAGGGGAACUUUGAUAGGGAAUUGAACUGAUUCAAGGAUCGAAAGAUAGAUAAAUGUUUGUCACCCAAGUGGUACAGAACAUGGCUUAUAA
RNAcentral lists this RNase P RNA (331 nucleotides) under bovine gut metagenome. RNAcentral's name for it is "Bacterial RNase P class B". It matches the Rfam family "Bacterial RNase P class B". From Rfam's summary of the family: Ribonuclease P (RNase P) is a ubiquitous endoribonuclease, found in archaea, bacteria and eukarya as well as chloroplasts and mitochondria. Its best characterised activity is the generation of mature 5'-ends of tRNAs by cleaving the 5'-leader elements of precursor-tRNAs. RNAcentral also lists the same sequence under 1 other name. The record is from RNAcentral.